This is a long non-coding RNA of Thalassophryne amazonica, 1753 nucleotides long. RefSeq lists it as uncharacterized. The transcript is spliced from 2 exons. NCBI's taxonomy places the organism in Eukaryota, Metazoa, Chordata, Actinopteri, Batrachoidiformes, Batrachoididae. The record is from RefSeq and is a predicted model, not a curated record.
GACUUUCAUUUGGUUGUUUAAUUUUUUUGACUUUAAUGUUGGUUUUCUCUCUCUCUAUAUAUAUAUAUAUAUAGAUAGAUUUCUUUAUUUAAAUAGUCUCCCUCUCAGAGGAUCACAGUGGAAAUAAGUUUUAUGUUUUCGUUGGUUCGCAGCCAAUCUAGCUAGCUAUAUGUUUUUUGUUGUUUUUUUUCUUUCUUUUUUAAGUCUCCCUGCCAGAGGAAAUAGUUUUUAUGUUUUACUGUGUUAUCUUCGGCAUGGUUGUGUUAUGUAUUUUGUGUUUAUAUACUUUAUAUUUACAUAUCACGAUGCUUCUUGUGAUGUUAUAAAUCUGGUCACGUGGGUUUGUUGACUUCCAGCUUGUUAAUCCAGCAUUAAUGUCCGCACAUCAUCAGACAGGGGGUUAUUCCCAUUCAAAUCCAAAUCAAUCGUUUGCACGGUUUAUUUUUCUGUAUUUUCCUGUAGCAACAGCAUCUUCAUGCCAAACACCAGUUUCUCUCGUUCUCAGCUGACAGCGCCAUUAUGACAUCUGCAUAGGCAAAGCGGUCAGGACGCGAAGUAAUACAUCAAAUGUGAAACGGUCGAAUAUUUUGCCACCGUCAAUGUGAUAUUUAUGGUUGGAAAUGUCACACGAUUAACCAAUCAGAUUUGCAGAACAAAUGUAAUUGGGUUAGAAUAGGUUUUUACAGGCGUUGCUAACUGCACCGAUCGUUCCUGAAGGGUUCAGGGAUUCAUUUCCUGAGGAGGUCUUGAUCAGAACCAAAAAGAUCUGCAGGAUUACUGCAGUUUGAAUUAAGAACUGGGUGCUGUUGGCUCACUCCUGUGUUUGUAGGAUCCAAUGCCUGUCGGGGGUACUGAGCGAUGAUCCAACCGACCCAGACUAUGUUCCUCACCUGAGAAUGGGUUACGGUGAGGAACAGGCACUGGAACAUUCAUUUAAGAAGAGAGCAAGAAGGGUACUUCGGAAAUUCAGACGCACAAUGCAGUUACUGGCUCCGGCAGAUUUGUCUCAUCCUCACUCUCAGAAGCUGUCUGUCUCCUCUGGAUCCAGUUUUGGCACAAGUGAAAAGAAUGCAGCACCUGAACAAAUGUCUUGGUUUUGAAGUACUGUAUUGACAGAUGAUGGGGUAUACUCAGCCAACUUCACUUCACUUUUCCUGUUUCUUUUCAAGAGGUGUUUGAAUUCAGACCAGAAUCAUAAUCAGAACAGCCUUGUUCACCAAGUAUCUACAAGACUAUAAGGAAUUUGACUCCAGCUUGAACUGUACUCUCUCUGUAUGAGCAUGUAUAAAUAUACACUAAACACUGAAUAAUUCACAGUAAAUAGUAUGUGCAAAUACAAUAAACCAAGCGGAGAUGGAGGUGCACAGGACAGACUGGAUGAUGGAUGUGUAGAAGAUGAUGAGUAGUUCCUGGGGCAGGUUGAACUCCUGAGCAGUUUGAUGAAGAACAUCCUCUGUUGAGCCUUUUUCCUGAUGGAGUCUAUGCGGGAAGUCCACUUCAGGGGAGUGAUGGGGAGUUUCUCCUGAAGUCCAUUAUCAUCUCCACAGUCGUGAUUGGGUUCAGCUCCAGUUUGUUCUGACCACACAAGAGGACCAACUGUCUGGCCUCGGAUUGAUCUGCAGAGCAAAAAGAACUGUAUUGUCAGAUCAUUACAGAUGAAUACACCUUUCAGUAAAAAAAAAAAAAAAAAUCUGAUAAGAAUCAGUGAGAUUACUACCCCAAUGGAUGUAGUUGUUAUGGUAUUCACAUUGAU